UGAGGAAUAUUGGUCAAUGGGCGAGAGCCUGAACCAGCCAAGUAGCGUGCAGGAUGACGGCCCUAUGGGUUGUAAACUGCUUUUAUAAGGGAAUAAAGUGAGAGUCGUGACUCUUUUUGCAUGUACCUUAUGAAUAAGGACCGGCUAAUUCCGUGCCAGCAGCCGCGGUAAUACGGAAGGUCCGGGCGUUAUCCGGAUUUAUUGGGUUUAAAGGGAGCGUAGGCCGUCUGUUAAGCGUGUUGUGAAAUGUCGGGGCUCAACCUGGGCAUUGCAGCGCGAACUGGCAGACUUGAGUGCGCGGGAAGUAGGCGGAAUUCGUCGUGUAGCGGUGAAAUGCUUAGAUAUCACGAAGAACUCCGAUUGCGAAGGCAGCUCACGGGAGCGCAACUGACGCUGAAGCUCGAAAGUGCGGGUAUCGAACAGGAUUAGAUACCCUGGUAGU
This 442-nucleotide ribosomal RNA is filed under the name uncultured Prevotella sp. RNAcentral's name for it is "bacterial SSU rRNA". It matches the Rfam family "Bacterial small subunit ribosomal RNA", at positions 355 to 794 of the family's 1533-position model. Lineage: Bacteria; Pseudomonadati; Bacteroidota; Bacteroidia; Bacteroidales; Prevotellaceae. The record is from RNAcentral.